AGCAGACAAAGACUGCUUACCAUAAGGCACCCUCUGAACAUAUAGCAUUUUGAAGCAAAAAAAAUAUGGAGGAGAAGGCUGGGAGGUGAAGAAUAAGAUUCUUUAUUUUAAGAGGCAGUCAUGUGAAAAUGCUGCAGUAUUCCUCAUAGCAUGCAAAGGACUGAUAAGAAGUUGAAAAAAAAAUAUCUGUUUUUCCGACUAGCAAGAUCCAAGGCAGCAGCAAGCAGGAGAGCUGGAAUGGUGAAUCCUUCCAUCCAGCAGAUUGUAGUGGGAGGCUUGCACACACACACACACAUGACAGAUUCCCAGGCUGCUGAUACUGUCUCUGCAUUUCAGCACAAGGCAAAAGAGAGCGGACAAAUGAAUACUGCUCAAGGUUCUUAGGGAUGCUGCUUUCUUCUUCCCCAUCACAUCUUCGAAUUAUGACUGCUGAACUGAGGAAUUCCCCCAGGGGCUGUUCAGAACCGAUUGAGCCUGACUGCUGGAAAAUUAGUUCUCUACAGGAGGUAAAAAAGCAAAAGGAUUUUUUUGUCCUCUCAGGGAAUGAAGGGUUGAUACUGAAUCCUUGCAGAGGUGGUGGCUUGCAAUGCAGCUAGGCUUGGGAGAUACGACGUGUACAGAACCGUACGCAGCUCAGCAUCAUGACACUUGCUAGUGGUAUGUGAAACAUUACUGGAAUCUAAAGCCCCCCAGCCCCGGCAGCAUGAGAGAUACUGCACCUCAGGGAUGCAGCUGAAUGCAUAUGCAUCUGAUCAGCCUCCGUCUGCAGAACAACCAAACACUUGCAUUACAUAUAUGCAACACAGUACACAAACCAAAAACGUAUUUAUUACAUUACCCUAUAUAUUCCCACAUACAAACCAUUACCUUUGACUUCAGUUUACUGCUGUGUUGAAUACAAAAUGUAUUCUAGCCCUACCCAUCAUUGAAAAAUGAUGCAUUAAAGAAUUCAGUAAGCCAGUUAAUUAUAAACAGGCCCAUGGCUGAUAACAUGCAUAGGUUAUUUCCCCCUCACUUACAUUUUUAACAGCCAAAAAAAGUUUAUAAAAUUAUAAAUGAUUUAAUGUCACUGACUUUAAAAAAUAAAAGCUCCCCUCUCCCCCCCAGGUACAUAAAGGUGAAUGAAAAUACUGUGCAUUAUUCAAGAGCUACCUAUGCAAGGUGCUGAGUAGAAAGGAAGAGUUAAACUUUCAUUUCAAUUAACAGGAUGCUACAAAGGCAUUUUAAAAUUGUGUAUUACUGCCAUUUUCUUAAUUUUUGCAGACUGAAAAAUAACAUGAAAGACAUAGGCUAUGCAACAUAUUAUAUGUUAACAAUUGGAAACCCUAAUGAUGGAACAAAGGCAUUUUUCUCUAUACCACGCCCAGUUGAGGUGUUUUAGCUCCAGUGUGAUUUAACCUCUGCAAAUCUCACAAUAAAGCUGUUCAGCUUAUCAUUUCACAAUGCAUAUGAUUAAUUCACAGAUGUAUUCUUUUAGCGCCAGAUCUGCUUCACAGAAUAUUAAUAUUCUGACAGAAACAUUCUAAAUAUAGAGAACAUGCUGGAGAUCCCACGACAAGGCAAGCUGGGACUGCAAAAAUACAGAUAUGUAUCUAGGGCUGUAAAAUUCAAAUUCAAACAUAGCUUAAAAAAGCUGAAAAUACAAACAUGUUUCAUUCUAUCAGGAGGUUAUAUAAUAAAUAUAAAAUAACUAAAAUAUUUUCCAGGCUUGCUACUAAGAAAUUUUCCAUUUGUUAACCUGCAAAUCAAGUAGGACAAUAUGUGUUGGGGUAGAUCAUCUGGGGUAUAAUAUCAAGCUUGUGUCUUUUUACAAUGUACUUAUUCAGGUUCAUGAUCUAUCUGAGAAUAUUUCAAGUGAAUUAGUUUACUCUGUAAAUGCCAUUUCAAUUUAAUUCUGUUACUUUAUUCUGUAAACUCCAUUUCAAAAAUGAGGUCUUUUUGUUCAAAUACUGCAGUUGUAUGUUGUUGGAACUCUAUUUUCCGUGUAAUAUCUCCACAAAUAAAAAUGUUUUCAAUUCA
Molecule: long non-coding RNA, 2019 nt
Organism: Xenopus tropicalis (tropical clawed frog)
Lineage: Eukaryota; Metazoa; Chordata; Amphibia; Anura; Pipidae
Exons: 2
Source: RefSeq, a predicted model, not a curated record